This 436-nucleotide ribosomal RNA is filed under the name uncultured cyanobacterium. RNAcentral describes it as "bacterial SSU rRNA". It matches the Rfam family "Bacterial small subunit ribosomal RNA", at positions 99 to 555 of the family's 1533-position model. Lineage: Bacteria; Bacillati; Cyanobacteriota. The record is from RNAcentral.
CGAACGGGUGAGUAACGCGUGAGAAUUUGCUUCUAGGUAGAGGAUAACCAAUAGAAAUAUUGGCUAAAACUCUAUAAUUCUAUUAAAAAAAUAGCUAAAAAAAGAAAUUUGCCUAGAAAAAAGCUCGCGUCUGAUUAGCUAGUUGGUAAGGGAAAGGCUUACCAAGGCGACGAUCAGUAGCUGAUUUGAGAGGAUGAUCAGCCACACUGGAACUGAGACACGGUCCAGACUCCUACGGGAGGCAGCAGUGAGGAAUUUUCUGCAAUGGGCGAAAGCCUGACAGAGCAAUACCGCGUGAGGGAAUAAGAAGGCCUAUGGGUUGUAAACCUCUUUUCUCAAAGAAGAAGAUCUGACGUUAUUUGAGGAAUAAGCAUCGGCUAACCCUGUGCCAGCAGCCGCGGUAAGACAGGGGAUGCGAGUGUUAUCCGGAAUUAUU